This 417-nucleotide ribosomal RNA is filed under the name Pseudomonas sp. PM377. Its description in RNAcentral is "bacterial SSU rRNA". It matches the Rfam family "Bacterial small subunit ribosomal RNA", at positions 93 to 518 of the family's 1533-position model. Lineage: Bacteria; Pseudomonadati; Pseudomonadota; Gammaproteobacteria; Pseudomonadales; Pseudomonadaceae. The record is from RNAcentral.
CAGCGGCGGACGGGUAAGUAAUGCCUAGGAAUCUGCCUGGUAGUGGGGGACAACGUUUCGAAAGGAACGCUAAUACCGCAUACGUCCUACGGGAGAAAGCAGGGGACCUUCGGGCCUUGCGCUAUCAGAUGAGCCUAGGUCGGAUUAGCUAGUUGGUGAGGUAAUGGCUCACCAAGGCGACGAUCCGUAACUGGUCUGAGAGGAUGAUCAGUCACACUGGAACUGAGACACGGUCCAGACUCCUACGAUCGAAUAUUGGACAAUGGGCGAAAGCCUGAUCCAGCCAUGCCGCGUGUGUGAAGAAGGUCUUCGGAUUGUAAAGCACUUUAAGUUGGGAGGAAGGGCAUUAACCUAAUACGUUAGUGUUUUGACGUUACCGACAGAAUAAGCACCGGCUAACUCUGUGCCAGCAGCCGC